CCCUUAGAUGUCCUGGGCCGCACGCGCGCUACACUGACAUGUUCAACAAGCCUCCUAGUUCGACAGGAUUUGGGAAAUCUUUGAACGCAUGUCGUGAUAGGGAUAGAUCAUUGCAAUUAUUGGUCUUCAACGAGGAAUUCCUAGUAGACGUAGUUCAUCAGACUGCAUCGAUUACGUCCCUGCCCUUUGUACACACCGCCCGUCGCUCCUACCGAUUGAAUGCUCAGGUGAGCCAUUCGGACUUUCAUCAUACUGGUUUCCAGUUUUGAUGAAGGAAAGUCUUGCGAACCUUAUCAUUUAGAGGAAGGAGAAGUCGUAACA
RNAcentral lists this ribosomal RNA (321 nucleotides) under uncultured eukaryote. Its description in RNAcentral is "partial 18S ribosomal RNA". It matches the Rfam family "Eukaryotic small subunit ribosomal RNA", at positions 1470 to 1796 of the family's 1831-position model. The record is from RNAcentral.